This 77-nucleotide transfer RNA is filed under the name Paludihabitans sp. RNAcentral's name for it is "tRNA-Val". It matches the Rfam family "tRNA". Rfam says of the family: Transfer RNA (tRNA) molecules are approximately 80 nucleotides in length. Their secondary structure includes four short double-helical elements and three loops (D, anti-codon, and T loops). RNAcentral also lists the same sequence under 1 other name. Lineage: Bacteria; Bacillati; Bacillota; Clostridia; Eubacteriales; Oscillospiraceae. The record is from RNAcentral.
GAGGGCAUAGCUCAGCUGGUUAGAGUACUUGCUUGACAUGCAAGGGGUCGGUGGUUCAAGUCCACUUGUCCUCACCA